CUGGGCGUAAGCGCACGCAGGCGGUCUGUCAAGUCGGAUGUGAAAUCCCCGGGCUCAACCUGGGAACUGCAUUCGAAACUGGCAGGCUAGAGUCUUGUAGAGGGGGGUAGAAUUCCAGGUGUAGCGGUGAAAUGCGUAGAGAUCUGGAGGAAUACCGGUGGCGAAGGCGGCCCCCUGGACAAAGACUGACGCUCAGGUGCGAAAGCGUGGGGAGCAAACAGGAUUAGAUACCCUGGUAGUCCACGCCGUAAACGAUGUCGACUUGGAGGUUGUGCCCUUGAGGCGUGGCUUCCGGAGCUAACGCGUUAAGUCGACCGCCUGGGGAGUACGGCCGCAAGGUUAAAACUCAAAUGAAUUGACGGGGGCCCGCACAAGCGGUGGAGCAUGUGGUUUAAUUCGAUGCAACGCGAAGAACCUUACCUACUCUUGACAUCCAGAGAACUUUCCAGAGAUGGAUUGGUGCCUUCGGGAACUCUGAGACAGGUGCUGCAUGGCUGUCGUCAGCUCGUGUUGUGAAAUGUUGGGUUAAGNNCCGCAACNAGCGCAACCCUUAUCCUUUGUUGNCAGCGGAUCNGGCGGGAACUCAAAGGAGACUGCCNGUGAUAAACUGGANGANNGUGGGGAUGACNUCNACCCCNAUNUNCCUCCAGAUU
This 653-nucleotide ribosomal RNA is filed under the name Enterobacter sp. RNAcentral describes it as "partial 16S ribosomal RNA". It matches the Rfam family "Bacterial small subunit ribosomal RNA", at positions 554 to 1209 of the family's 1533-position model. The record is from RNAcentral. Lineage: Bacteria; Pseudomonadati; Pseudomonadota; Gammaproteobacteria; Enterobacterales; Enterobacteriaceae.